RNAcentral lists this ribosomal RNA (400 nucleotides) under uncultured bacterium. RNAcentral's name for it is "bacterial SSU rRNA". It matches the Rfam family "Bacterial small subunit ribosomal RNA", at positions 355 to 747 of the family's 1533-position model. The record is from RNAcentral.
UGGGGAAUUUUGGACAAUGGGCGCAAGCCUGAUCCAGCUAUUCCGCGUGUGGGAUGACGGCCCUCGGGUUGUAAACCACUUUAGUAGAGAACGAAAAGGAGCUAUCGAAUAAAUAGCUCUGCUGACGGUACUCUAAGAAUAAGCACCGGCUAACUACGUGCCAGCAGCCGCGGUAAUACGUAGGGUGCGAGCGUUAAUCGGAAUUACUGGGCGUAAAGGGUGUGCAGGCGGCUGAGUAAGACAGAUGUGAAAUCCCCGGGCUUAACCUGGGAACCGCAUAUGUGACUGCUUGGCUAGAGUGCGUCAGAGGGAGGUGGAAUUCCACGUGUAGCAGUGAAAUGCGUAGAUAUGUGGAAGAACACCGAUGGCGAAGGCAGCCUCCUGGGACGCAACUGACGCU